UCCAUCCCAAAGCUGAGGUAUCCA
This 24-nucleotide non-coding RNA is filed under the name Arabidopsis thaliana (thale cress). The record is from RNAcentral. Lineage: Eukaryota; Viridiplantae; Streptophyta; Magnoliopsida; Brassicales; Brassicaceae.